RNAcentral lists this ribosomal RNA (640 nucleotides) under Vermamoeba vermiformis. RNAcentral describes it as "SSU rRNA". It matches the Rfam family "Eukaryotic small subunit ribosomal RNA", at positions 606 to 1252 of the family's 1831-position model. Lineage: Eukaryota; Tubulinea; Echinamoebida; Vermamoebidae. The record is from RNAcentral.
CGCCCUCCCCCUAAGCUCGUAGUUGGAUUUCGGAGGUCCUUUGCGGUCCGCCCCUUCGGGGAGCGGGUCGCAGGCCUCCUAUGUUCCUAACGGUCCUCUUGCCGCGAGGUGAGGGGAAUCAACCGCUAGGAUCGUUUACUUUGAGGAAAUUAGAGUGUUCAAAGCAGGCGUAACUCGCCUCCGAAUACGUUAGCAUGGGAUAAUGGAAUACGACUUCGGUCUUGUUUCGUUGGUUUCGCUUGGCUGAAGUAAUGAUUGAUAGGGACAGUUGGGGGCAUUAGUAUUUAGUUGUCAGAGGUGAAAUUCUAGGAUUUACUAAAGACUGACCAAUGCGAAAGCAUUUGCCAAGGAUGUUUUCAUUAAUCAAGAACGAAAGUAGGGGGAUCGAAGACGAUCAGAUACCGUCGUAGUCUCUACCGUAAACUAUGCCGACCAGGGAUCCGGAGAGUUUGCAUGGAUGACUCCCCGGGCACCUUGUGAGAAAUCAUAAGUGUUUGGGUUUUGGGGGGAGUAUGGUCGCAAGGCUGAAACUUAAAGGAAUUGACGGAAGGGCACCACCAGGAGUGGAACCUGCGGCUUAAUUUGACUCAACACGGGGAAACUUACGAGGUCAGGACACUGUGAGGAUUGACAGAUUGAU